This is a long non-coding RNA of Solanum dulcamara, 1949 nucleotides long. RefSeq lists it as uncharacterized. The record is from RefSeq and is a predicted model, not a curated record. NCBI's taxonomy places the organism in Eukaryota, Viridiplantae, Streptophyta, Magnoliopsida, Solanales, Solanaceae. The transcript is spliced from 3 exons.
UAUUUUCGCGAAUUUGUCAACAACAUCUGUUGUAGUCUAGUUGGUUAGGAUACUUGGCUCUCAUACGAGUGACCUGGGUUUCAAAUCUUUGUAAAUCAUAGUAUUGUCAAUUCUUUAAACGUGGCUUCCAUGCCUGGCGUCCAUCUCUAAAUGCUUUCAUGCCUGCUUCUAUCUCUAUGGAUUUCCUUUCUUUUUUCAGUAUAAUAUCUCCUAUUCCUCAGUUAAAGAACUUCCCCUCUUCCAACUUUUUUAGUGUGUUGUUGUAGCAUUAAGGUAUUUCUUUUUGGUUGUUCUUUUCUCUUCGUCUUCAAUUUUUUCUUUAGAUUUUGUUUGUGCAUACAAAUAUGGGACAGUGAGGGGAAAGACAGGAUGAGAGUUCUUAUUUAUGUAUUUUUCAGAUCUAAUUUCAUGGAUUUAUGAAAUUAUGGGUCAAAAAAUCAGAGAGAAUUCGAAUUAGGGCAAAAAUUGAGAUAAAAAUGAUCUGACUCACUGCUCACUCAUCAGCAUCACAAUCAAAUCUGAAAAUUGUGUUACUCAAUCAAAUUUGGUUUUAAGGUUCCUAGAAUUUCGUUCUGAAUUUGAGUUUUAAUAAGGCUUUAAGCUUUGUUCUUUAUUAAAAUAUAUAUAAACAAGGGAUAACAAACAAAGAGGAAAAAUGAUCGAGAAGAGUUUGUUCCCCCUUUGUGAAAUUAGAGGGUUUUCCUGGUAAAAAUAUUUGUACUGUACACUUUAGUCUUCUAAUAUUUUGAAAAUAAUAAAUAUUGAACUACAUAAGUCCAACAAAAUCAACAAUAUAGUGAAAUGGUAUAUACAAGUUAUGUCGCUUAGGAAGUAACCGAACUAUUAAUUUAGAUUGUUUCUUUCAGGUUUCUGACUCUGUUGUUAUGAUUAAGUGUUCCUCAGUGCACUCAGCCUCCUUAACUUUGGAGGGGGGUUCUAAUCUAUGGGCACCCAAAAAGCAGCGGUUUUUCUUGUCGUAAAAAAAAUAAAGUCAACUAAUGUCUACAAUUUUGUACCGCAGAGGAUUCAUGUCAUUCUAUACAAUAUAUUUGUUCUCAACAGUGAUUAUGGUGGGUAUAAAUAAAAUAACAUAUAUUGAAUCCGUACUUGCACGGGCUUUUUGUAAUUUAUUCCCUGUGUGCAGUUGUCGAUGGACAUGUCAAACGACUGUAAGAUGAAGAUAUCCAAUUCAAUCUCCUGAAAAUUAUUGGAUUGAAUGUCCAGCAAGCAUACGUAACUGUGUCCUACAGAUCCUAAUGCAACUCUUGGCAUAAAGUUGCCCUUCUUAGUCAUGAUAGUGAAGAAUGUGAAGAAGUACUUCACCUUUGAAAUUCAGGUUUUAGAUGAUAAAAAUGUUUGGAGAAGAUUACGAGCUUCUAAUAUCAACUCUAUAUGUAGUGUCAAACUGGAAUGACGAUGGUGAUAGGCAAAUAUUGUCACUGUUAAGUCGUAAGCUAGAUAUGCAAGUUCAAGAUAGGAUCAUGUUAACUCACAUACCGUCCCCUGUAAAUACAUAUCGUGAACUUCUUACAGCAGAGCAGGAACUCAAAAACCCUACACGAGGAGCAUGAAUAAGGAAAAUAUCUUGUGGACACCCAACUAGAGAUUGCCACAACUAGCUUAAUGCAUCAACAGUGGAUCAGAUUUUAGAUAUAAAAUAUUUACUUACUGGCAACCAGGAUAUAUAUGAAACUGCGUUUUAUUCUCUGCUUAUUCAAUAUGGAAGAUUAGUGUCAUCCUCAGGAGAUCCACUUUGAAGUGAACGGAUUCAUAAUAUGAAAAAGCUUUAGCAUUGUCAAAUGUUAUAAGAGUGACUCUUUUUCUUUUUACAAAGGUUGUUCACUUGUCAAUUUGUCAAUUCAAUGUGUUUUAGAGAAGAAUACAAACUGAUGUAUCACACCGGUUGGAUUUAUCAAUUGAAGUGAAAUUUAAUAUAUUUUGAUACUUUC